RNAcentral lists this transfer RNA (72 nucleotides) under Microcaldota archaeon. RNAcentral describes it as "Candidatus Micrarchaeota archaeon (hot springs metagenome) tRNA-Ala". It matches the Rfam family "tRNA". Rfam says of the family: Transfer RNA (tRNA) molecules are approximately 80 nucleotides in length. The record is from RNAcentral. Lineage: Archaea; Nanobdellati; Microcaldota. RNAcentral also lists the same sequence under 1 other name.
GGGCCUAUAGCUCAACGGUAGAGCACCCGACUUGCACUCGGGAGGCUGGGGGUUCAAAUCCCCCUGGGUCCA